Long non-coding RNA from Xiphophorus couchianus (Monterrey platyfish), 4522 nucleotides. RefSeq lists it as uncharacterized. The transcript is spliced from 3 exons. The record is from RefSeq and is a predicted model, not a curated record. NCBI's taxonomy places the organism in Eukaryota, Metazoa, Chordata, Actinopteri, Cyprinodontiformes, Poeciliidae.
UUUCACGACAACCGGAAGCUGCAUCUGAAAGGGCUGGGGCACUUCCUGUUUUGGUGACCGUAAUUCAAGUACUCUGAAAAAUGUCUCUGGUCCUCCGGUCCUUUUCAUCAUCAUUACUUAAUUUGCCAGCACUUUCUUUUGCUGAUGCGGAGGAAAUCGCAGUGGCGAAUUCGCCCACCAACAAAUGUGUGAAAGGAAACAAGUUCUUCCACAAAGAAUAUAUCCACAGCUAUCAAGGUAAGAAAAGACGUAGCUUAGCGAGCUAACCGCUAGCUACAUGAUAUGAACUACACAAACAUCGUAAUGAAGCCUAACUUAUUUUGCUAAAUUACGUGGAAUAUUGGAGACAGACGUAGUUUAAACUUUUCAAAUAUAUUUUGACAUUCUGAAAUGUAUUUGCCAGUACAGUUUGUGAAAAAUAUCAUGCUAGAACUUAGCUAUGAGAUACUAGAUGACGCUUGAUGUUGGAACUAUGCUUUUCUUCUGCAUGCCCGUAGUGUCAAAUAUUGUCGAGGGACAGAUAGUUGUCAGAGCUAGAUGCUUCAGAUCCAUGAAGAAAAAUGAGGAACCGCACAAGCUGCAGGUUUGAAACAGUCAGAAAGCCGGUUGGCUCUUGUUCGUUAGUUCGAGUUCCUGUUCAUAUUUGACAGCUGAAGAACUUUCACGUACAACUUCUGGACUCGGAGCUUAUUCUAACAUCUUCCUGUUCAGAGGUUACUAUUUGUUUUCUGUUUCUGUUGCGGUUGCAACAUAGUCUGUGUUUUUUUUCUGCUGUUGUUGAACCUUACCUUCAAACUAGAAUCUAUUACUUGUUUAAAGCUAAACAUGCUAUACAGUAUGUAUUGAUGUAUAAAUGUGUUGAUAAUACACGUGUCUAUUUUAGAUAUCCCUGGAUGUUAUAUCUAACAAUAAUAGGCUGAAUUAUUGGAUUAUUCCUGUAGCUGUGCAGCUGGUAAAGGUUUUUGCAAUCAUGUAGUUGCACUUCUUUACCAGCCUGCACACUACUGCCAAUUCCAGCUGCCAACUGUUCUUCCUGCACAAGUGAUUUACUAAGAUGGUACAGACCAAGAACACAGGGGAAACAUCCUGAACCUGUCAGCAACGUGGUGGUGCGGAAGCCCAAAGCUAUGGGGAAAAGAUAUCUGCACUCCACACUUUACAGAGCUUACACAGGUAUAAAUUCUGGUUUAUUUUUUGUACCUAUGUUUCCUUUGUCAAAACCUAUUAUGAUUAUUCCAUCCAAAUUUGGGCCUGUGCCACAGGGCUCACCAAUGUCUUAUCAGUGCCCACCUGAGAAGUCAUCUGGUACAUCAUUUUGCACCACAUGGCUCCAGACUUUCCUUUUCUUCCUUUGAUGCUGCAUAGUCUUUCAAAUCUGUGUUUUGUGCCCACACUCGGUCAACUUAUGCAUCUUCAGUCUCUGCAAGUGUCACUGGAAAUGUCUUAUGAAAUAGAGGCUAGAACAAGAGAGCAUAUAUAAGAAUAAGAAUUAUUUUCUGUAUUCCAGCUAACAGAAUGCUUGUGGACAGAAUUAAUUUGUAAAAAAUUGAAUUUUUCUACAAACUCUUUAAAUUUAAGACCACAUUGUUCUGCCACUGUUCAGGUGUACUUUUGAAGUGAACAUGUUUAGUGCAAUUUGAAAUAUGAAAUAUAAAAUAUGAUAAAAAAAAAUAUACAUUUUUGUGUUUAUUUGAUUCCUAUUCAAGACACUUUGAUAAGAAUGAAUAUAUAUUUAAUAUAGGAGGCUAUAGACUAUCAUUUGUUUACAUUUUUGGUUGGUGGUGUGCCUCGUGAUUUUUUCAAUGAAAACAAUGUACCUUGGCUCAAAACAUGUUGAAAAACACUGCUCUAAGGGACAAGUGUGUUAGAAAAUGGACGGAUGGAUAGUUUGGAAUUUGGUUAUUUUGAGAUGAGGAGCUGGAUUCCUAGUAAAAUCUGAUGAAAUUUUAAAAAUGCCAUAUUUAGCAAAAAAAAAAAUGGUUUGGAGCAGAAGAGAUUAUAUCUCCAUCCUCAUCAGUUUCAGUUCGUGCUCUUCUUCAUUCAGUUUUCCUGUCACUGAGUGACUCCAUUUUUUCUGAGAAACUUUAAUAUGUCCAAACUCAUAUCUAGCUGUGAAAAUACAACCCACUGAUCACCAGUUAAUUCCAAAACAUCUUUCUUUACAAUGAGUUUAUUUUAACCAUCCUGUUACUAUUUCUCUCAUUCUGGCUAAUUCUGUAGCUGUUCAUAGUGCUCUCGUCUUGUGUUUGUGCUUUUCUUAAAAAACUUAGUUUUAUUUUACCGUGAACCAAAGCAAGGUUCACGGGGCCAAGGCCUCACUUCACACAUACCGUAUCACAGGUCAGCUCCCUUCGAAGCUGAUCAAAACUUGAGCUUUCCUCUUCCAGCUUGCUGUUCUUUCUGGCAGCGCGCUCUGCUCUUAGGGUCUGCUGCUCUUCUUUGUAACGUUAGCAGUAGAACGAGUAACUACCGUAACUGCUGUUGUUGCACGCAACACGCUCACUCGCUCUUUCUACUCUCUGCCAUAUGGAGUCUCCGGCUACCGUAAUAACAAUCUAUAGGAAACUUUUUUUUUUCUCAUUUAUAAAACUCUAAAAUCGGGGACUUUUCCGGGGACGUCUGGUCACCCAAUCAUAGACGGCGGUAUUUAAAGAAGCCUGAAACAGCUAGGUUAGAAACCGACUCGAACCUCCUCCCUGCUGACGGUGUUGAUCAAAUUACUGACUUUGGCUGAAUUCACACCACAUGAUUUAUGUCACUAUGUCAUAAACAGUGUUUACCCUUAAAGCGGAACAGCCUUAAAAACGUACAGAGGACAAGACGCUAAUAAUUUUUUUUCCAUACAUGCUAGGCUACAUGACGGCGUGGCAUUGUUUCCAUGGUUACUGAUGGUCAGACGCUAUCUUCUCCAUAGUGCAAUAUUUGAUGUCUUUCUAAUCAUACUUAUAACGUAUAUGAACGUUAAUCUUCUUACUUUGUAUAAAGUAUUCGCUGUAAAUCUGCGGUUACACCAACAGCUGCCAGUCAUGAUUGACAGCUGCUAUCCAUCCCCGCAUCUUUCCUAAUUAAAAUAAAAUGACAAGCUUGUUUUGACAAUAACCCUGUGCAGCCGACUGUGCAGCACCUUGUGACCAUAUUACUGCGAAAUCAACUAAAUAAAAGCGAUAUAAGGAUAAAACAUGUACGUAUUUUGACAGGCUUUAUACAGGAGAGCAUAGGUUUGGACGUCUAUGGUGGUGGAGGUGUGGUAAUGUGGCCUCGUUUUUCCUUUUGAGUUCAAGUUAUGUUUUCUAUAUUUGUUGCUUAGGAUUGUUGUUAUGUUUUGAAGUGUUUAUUGUUGUGUUGCAUGUUUUUGAGGUCACGUGCCACGCGCACCCGGAGACGCCCACUGCAUCAGCACAGGUGUUCCGCAUUCUGAUUAAGCAGCGUGCAGACUGGGACUGGGAUAAAAUCAUCGAUGGUGAGACAUCUACAGGGAAGAGGCAGACGGACUUGGGCUGUUUUUUUGUGGAGGACGGCACGAGCAGGCUCAGGAACUAGCGACGAGAGGACGGGUUGCCAGGAAGCGCCAUCCGUCGGGUUACUGUUGGAGGCCGCGGGUUACUCGACUGGUCGCCGUUAAGAAGCGUGUGGCCGGCUGGAGGAGCCGUCGGGACCAGGGUGCGGCUGAGGUUCAUCAGAGGCUGGAGCUAAGCAUCUAUUUUAUAGACUCGUUUUGACUUGUUUGACAAGGACUGCCUGUGCCUCCUCUUUCUUUUGAUUUCCUGUUUUUAAAAUAAAUUAUUGGAACUUUUAUUGGUUGUUGGAACUCUGUUCACAAUCCCUGCUAGUUUAUAUUGGGUACUCCACUCGGGUGCCACAGAGGCAGUGACGUCAGGUGCAAAUGUAGCUGAGUUAAUUUUAUUUAUUUAUUUUUUAUUUUUCUUAUGAACCUUCUCAAACACCUUUUUGUUAAGUUGACAUGUCUGUUGUCGCUUUUGCACUGCUGCAGGCUAUUUCUGUUUUAUACUGCUUUUAUUUUUGGUUCCUACUGUAAAUAUUGUUCUGGGAGGACAGUUAUUAGUGGUGCACAAAGCAAGGUUCUGUCACGUAACUGCAGUAGCCAGGCAGAACCUGCCUAACUGAGCUGCUGGUAAGAUGUGUGCUAAUGCUACCUCUCACUCUCAGUAAUGUUUAUAACGUUAAAAAAUAGUUCUCACAGUUUUUGUGCUGCAUAAAAAUGUAAUGUUAACUGUCUUUAAGUGUUUUAAAAACUUUGGGUUUGAUUAAAAUUAAACUGUCACUCUUAUAAAGUUUGUCUGAAGCUUUCCCUCCAAAAUGUGUUUGUUGGGCCGCAGGGAUUUGACUGUGACUGUGUGUACCAUACCCGAUGGUUGAGUGUGUCCCACACUGUGUCUUAUAGGUCAGUUAGGAAGAAGCUGCCUAACUGAGCUGCUGGGAUCUGACUGACAGUGGUUCCAUACCUGAUGGUUGAGUGUGUCCCACACUGUGUCUUAUAGAAAUAAAUUGACGCAGAUCCUGA